Molecule: ribosomal RNA, 737 nt
Filed under: uncultured archaeon
Lineage: Archaea
Description: bacterial SSU rRNA
Rfam family: Archaeal small subunit ribosomal RNA
Source: RNAcentral
UGCGAGUCGAGAGGGUUCGGCCCUCGGCAGACUGCUCAGUAACACGUGGAUAACCUAACCUUAGGUGGAGAAUAACCUCGGGAAACUGAGAAUAAUACUCCAUAGAUCUAGGAUGCUGGAAUGCAUCUAGGUUGAAAGUUGCGGCGCCUAAGGAUGGGUCUGCGGACUAUCAGGUUGUAGUCAGGGUAAUGACCUGACUAGCCUAUGACGGAUAUGGGUUGUGAGAGCAAUAGCCCAGAGACGAUAUCUGAGACACGAUAUCGGGCCCUACGGGGCGCAGCAGGCGCGAAAUCUUCACAAUGUGCGAGAGCACGAUGAGGGAAUCCCAAGUGCUGGCACGUAAGUGUCAGCUGUUUCCUAGUCUAAAAAACUAGGAGAGUAAGAGCUGGGUAAGACGGGUGCCAGCCGCCGCGGUAAUACCUGCAGCUCAAGUGGUGGCCGCUAUUAUUGGGCCUAAAACGUCCGUAGCCGGUUUAGUAAAUGCUUGGGUAAAUUGUGUAGCUUAACUAUACGAAUACCGAGUAGACUGCUAGACUUGGGACCGGGAGAGGCUAGAGGUACUCCUGGGGUAGAGGUGAAAUUCUGUAAUCCUAGGGGGACCACCAGUGGCGAAGGCGUCUAGCUAGAACGGGUCUGACGGUGAGGGACGAAGCCCUGGGGCGCGAACCGGAUUAGAUACCCGGGUAGUCCAGGGUGUAAACGCUGCUUGCUUGAUGUUAGUUGGGCUCCGAGCCCCA